RNAcentral lists this transfer RNA (74 nucleotides) under Myotis brandtii (Brandt's bat). It matches the Rfam family "tRNA". From Rfam's summary of the family: Transfer RNA (tRNA) molecules are approximately 80 nucleotides in length. Their secondary structure includes four short double-helical elements and three loops (D, anti-codon, and T loops). Further hydrogen bonds mediate the characteristic L-shaped molecular structure. tRNAs have two regions of fundamental functional importance: the anti-codon, which is responsible for specific mRNA codon recognition, and the 3' end, to which the tRNAs corresponding amino acid is attached (by aminoacyl-tRNA synthetases). tRNAs cope with the degeneracy of the genetic code in two manners: having more than one tRNA (with a specific anti-codon) for a particular amino acid; and 'wobble' base-pairing, i.e. permitting non-standard base-pairing at the 3rd anti-codon position. The record is from Rfam by way of RNAcentral. Lineage: Eukaryota; Metazoa; Chordata; Mammalia; Chiroptera; Vespertilionidae.
GCUAGUAUGGCUCAGUGAUUAGAGUGUCAGCCUGAGAACUGAAGGGUCGCAGGUUAAAUUCUCUGUUAAGAGCA